AGAGUUUGAUCAUGGCUCAGAGUGAACGCUGGCGGCAUGCCUAACACAUGCAAGUCGAACGGUAACAGGCCCGCAAGGGUGCUGACGAGUGGCGGACGGGUGAGGAAUACAUCGGAAUCUGCCCGGUUGUGGGGGAUAACGUAGGGAAACUUACGCUAAUACCGCAUACGACCGAAAGGUGAAAGCGUGGGAUCCGCAAGGACCUCGCGCAGCCGGAUGAGCCGAUGUCGGAUUAGCUAGUUGGCGGGGUAAAGGCCCACCAAGGCGACGAUCCGUAGCUGGUCUGAGAGGAUGAUCAGCCACACUGGGACUGAGACACGGCCCAGACUCCUACGGGAGGCAGCAGUGGGGAAUAUUGGACAAUGGGGGCAACCCUGAUCCAGCAAUGCCGCGUGUGUGAAGAAGGCCUUCGGGUUGUAAAGCACUUUUUAUCCGGAACGAAACGCGCAGGGUGAAUAGCCUUUGCGAACUGACGGUACCGGAGGAAUAAGCACCGGCUAACUUCGUGCCAGCAGCCGCGGUAAUACGAAGGGUGCAAGCGUUACUCGGAAUUACUGGGCGUAAAGCGUGCGUAGGUGGUUUGUUAAGUCUGCUGUGAAAGCCCCGGGCUCAACCUGGGAAUGGCAGUGGAUACUGGCAAGCUAGAGUGCGGUAGAGGGUAGUGGAAUUCCCGGUGUAGCGGUGAAAUGCGUAGAGAUCGGGAGGAACACCAGUGGCGAAGGCGGCUACCUGGACCAGCACUGACACUGAGGCACGAAAGCGUGGGGAGCAAACAGGAUUAGAUACCCUAGUAGUCC
Molecule: ribosomal RNA, 797 nt
Filed under: uncultured bacterium
Lineage: Bacteria
Description: bacterial SSU rRNA
Rfam family: Bacterial small subunit ribosomal RNA
Source: RNAcentral